GACGAACGCUGGCGGCGUGCUUAAUACAUGCAAGUCGAACGGAAAGGCCCUGCUCUUGUGGGGCUCUCGAGUGCCGAACGGGUGAGUAACACGUGAGUAACCUGCCCUUGACUUAGUGAUAACUUCACGAAACUGCGGCUCAUAUCCGAUAGGAGCUCCUGCUGCAUGUUGGGGGUUGGUAAGUUUCGGCGGUUGUGGAUGGUCUCGCGGCUUAACCGCCUGUUAGUGUGGUAGUGGCUUACCAAGGGUUUGACGGAUAGCCGGCCUGAGAGGGUGACCGGCCACAAUGGUACUAAGAUACGGCCCAGUCUCGUACGGGAGGCAACGGUGGGGAAUAUUGCACAAUGGGCGGGAGCCUGAGACAACAACGCCGCGUGCGGGAUGACGGCCUUCGAGUUGUAAACCGAUGUGGCCGGUAACGAGGCGUGAGUGACGGUAAUGAGUAAGGAAGCCCCGGCUAACUACGUG
RNAcentral lists this ribosomal RNA (468 nucleotides) under uncultured bacterium. RNAcentral's name for it is "partial 16S ribosomal RNA". It matches the Rfam family "Bacterial small subunit ribosomal RNA", at positions 28 to 507 of the family's 1533-position model. The record is from RNAcentral.